This 2512-nucleotide long non-coding RNA is filed under the name Marmota monax (woodchuck). Lineage: Eukaryota; Metazoa; Chordata; Mammalia; Rodentia; Sciuridae. The record is from RNAcentral.
GGGGAAUCUUCCUGUGUUGCCCCCUCUGAGGGUGUGGGCCCCGAGGCAGAGCGAGACUGCCUUGGGAGGGCUUCUCCCCUGCCCUGCCUGCAGGGCUGCCGCCCUCCGAGCUCAGGUGAGCUCCUGUGAGCACUGUCACCAUCUCCGUCUGUGAAGUGGGAAUCUGGGCUGACGUGAGGCUCAGUAUUGGGCCCACCUGGCAAAUCCAUUAUCCUGACAGUGGGGUGGGGACAAGGAGAGGCUGCACUGGCCAGGACAGCCCAGCCCAGUAUGGGCAACCUGCUAAAGCUCUCUGGCAUGUGGCCUGGCUCCCUGGCUGACCCGCCUUGCUGUAGAGCCCCCAUUAGGGUCUGUGAGGUAAGUCUGGAGCAGUCCAGGACGGAGGCCCAGAGCUAGACCCUCAAGGCCCUGGCCCUCUGCUGGCCAUCUGAGCCCUUGAGGGAGCUCUGGUCCCUGAGGAAGUGGUGCUGUGUGCUCGGGCUCCUUUUUCAGGUGGCACCCCCUUGCUGGGGGGUCAGGUCACAAGUCCCACAGCUGUGUGCUGCUCUGAGGACCCAUGAUUUGAGGGAGGUGGUACUGAGAGGGGUCCCUGCUCUGCAUAUGUGACAGUUGGCAAGGUCACAGCCUCCCUCACAGGGAAGUGUGGAGUCAAGGCCACCCCAGGUAAGGUGUUGCAGGCAGGGUCUGGGUGCCCUGGAGGGCCAGCUCAGGAGGCCCGUUCCUCACGGGCCUUCUCAGGUGGGAGGUAGGUGCCCGCCCUGGCUGUGGAGGAGGCUGACCAGGCCUGGGGUCGGGUGUGGAGGGGCUGCCUGGGACCUCCCUCUGUGGCGAGGCCCUGGUGGAGCCUCUCCUUGGCACCUGGAUGUGUCCCCCAGGGUCUUCUUCUGGGUCUUAUGAGCUGGCGGUGCAGCUGGGGUCUCUGCAGGAGCAGUGACAGCCCUCCCUGCCCGCCGCCGCCUCGGACUACAGCACCCGCGACAGGACAGCUUGCCACGUGCCAUCUCUGCCUCGUCUCACUCCUUGGGCUCUUCCAUCUGGCUUCCCAGUGGCACCCACUCCCCACGGUCUUCCCAAGUCCCGCCCUGGCAUCUGCUGCCUCUGUGUCCCCUGUCUCCUGGCGCAAGGCCAGUGGAAGCUUCAGUGGGCUGGACGGACGGGCUGCCCAGACUCACACCCACAGAAAAGCCCUGCCCUGCUCUGCAGACCCUUUGGGGUGUGUGUGUGUGUGUGUGUGGUGUGCACCACAGGGGAGACCUGUGCUUUGACUCGGGGGCCCAGAGCCUCUGGCCCUCUACAUGUCAUUCCCUGGCUGUGACUGUGACCUGUUCGAGCCUGAAGAGCUGGGCUGCUGUGGGGACCCUGAGGCUCUGCUGCCUUCCUGGCCCUGGCAGCCUGGUGGCCUCGGGGUGCAGCUGUGCCGCCGGCGGCCGUGGGGCUGCGGAAGGCAGGGCAGUUGGUGGCAGGGUGCCAUGCCAACACCCGGGCCUGUGUUGCUGUUGCUGGGCACUGUGGCCUCAGGCCCUGGGGCCCCCAGGGUGACGGGCAUGGUGCCCUUCUCCUCUCGCUGUGCAGCACUGCCCGGCCCUGCUGGGCUUUGCUUUCCAGGGCCGAGGCGGUGAGAAGUAAACAGUGUUGCUAAUUAGAGCAGAGCUGCCAGCUUCCAGAAGGGGGGCCUCCCGCCCCCGCCCACCUUCCGCGGCCCAGAUUGCAGCAGAGUCAGGCAUAUGCUGCAGUUGGAGCCUGUGUGCUUUUCGCAGUUGCGGGGGGCUGGGGGCCUCUGCGGCGCUGCUGCCUGCUGAGCCCCGCCCUGUCUAUACCUGUGCAGCCCAGUCUUGGAACUGGGUGGUGGCUGUGGGCCGGCACAGGGGUGGGAGGCUGGACAGGGACAGGGUGCCUGGGCUCCCUCCCUGGCUCCUUCCUCCACUCUGCAGGCCCAGCCGAGAACUUGGUGUUCCAUGUGUCUUCUGGACUCCCGAGGGCGCCUCCACGGGGACGAGGUUCCGCUCGCUUCGCAGAGGAGUGGGCCAGGGCCCGGAGGGCUGCACAGCUUGCGUGACAUCCUGAGGGUGCCUGGUGUCUCAGCCCCUGGGCCCUCCCUGCCUAGGCUGGGCAGGGGUACCCGGGGAUGCCCUGUUGGCUUCUCCUCCCAGCCCACCCUGCCAAGAAGCCAGCCCUCAGACAGGGCUCCGCAUGGCCCUGGGACCCCCAGGAUCAGCGGAUUUUCCUGGCCCUGGGGGUGUGGGAGGUCGUGGGAAUGACUUGGCAUGCCAUCUUCCUGACCCCCCCAGGCCCCUGGACCUGGGACUCAAGCUGAGCCCCAAGUCCCUCCCCUAUAGUAAAGGUAAUAAGUGGACGUCCCUCAAGGGACUGUCACAGGGUAGCACAAGUGCCCAGCCAUGCAGUGAAUGUUGCUGAUAAAGGGGUGUGUUUACAUGCUGACAUGGGUCACGACCCCACAGGAGAGGUGGACAGGGAUCUGGCAGGCACCCCCAAGGACAGGAGUGGGCAGGCC